AGAAUGAACGUUGGCGGCGUGGAUUAGGCAUGCAAGUCGUACGGGCCGCAAGGCCAGUGGCGCAAGGGUGAGUAAGGCGACGGUAACCAACCCCAUGACUGGGUAUAGCCGCGGGAAACUGCGGGUAAUCCCCAGCGACGUCCCGGGGGGCAUCCCCUGGGGACCAAAGCUCCGGCGUCGUGGGACGGGCUGUCGUGGUAUUAGGUAGUUGGCGGGGUAAUGGCCCACCAAGCCUGCGAUGCCUACCGGGCGUGCGAGCGUGGCCCGGCACACUGGGACUGAGACACUGCCCAGACUCCUACGGGAGGCUGCAGUCGAGAAUCUUCGGCAAUGGGCGCAAGCCUGACCGAGCGACGCCGCGUGGAGGAUGAAGGCCUUCGGGUUGUAAACUCCUGUCGAGGGGGAAGAAGGGUCGAAAGACCUUGACUGAUCCCGUGGAGGAAGCACGGGCUAAGUUCGUGCCAGCAGCCGC
RNAcentral lists this ribosomal RNA (472 nucleotides) under uncultured bacterium. RNAcentral describes it as "SSU rRNA". It matches the Rfam family "Bacterial small subunit ribosomal RNA", at positions 26 to 518 of the family's 1533-position model. The record is from RNAcentral.